Telopea speciosissima is the source of this 553-nucleotide long non-coding RNA. RefSeq lists it as uncharacterized. The transcript is spliced from 2 exons. The record is from RefSeq and is a predicted model, not a curated record. NCBI's taxonomy places the organism in Eukaryota, Viridiplantae, Streptophyta, Magnoliopsida, Proteales, Proteaceae.
GUAUUAUUUUGCUAGCAUUUUCCUUCAUAUGCAUUUAUCUGUUUCCAUUUUAUAACCUUAACUGACCUCAGGAAAUAACUUUUAUCCUAUGAAGGUACAAAGAUGGCGAACCACUAUCAGCUGAAGAUCAGUCAUUUGUACUUGAUAGCGUUUUUACCCAUCAUCCUGAUCAAGUGUCAAAAAUGGGUGAUGGAGUUGGCUAUGUCAUGAUUAAUAAGCACAGUUCUUUCCAAGACAGCAGGUGUUUCUAUGUUGUCUCUACUGAUGGGAGAAACGAAGAUUUUUCUAACCGAAAAUGUAUUGAGAAUUUCAUCAAGGGUAAGUACCCUGCUGUUGCUGAAUCCUUCAUUUCUAAAUACUUCAAAAAACCCCGUUCCUUUGUUCAUGUUGAACGAGAAUAGUUUCAGUUUCUAUCUGGAUGUGUCUGUAUUUGUGGAUAUAAAUAUCUAUAUACUCAUAUUGUGUAGCCGAAUUGUUCUUUUUGUAUUUUCUGAUUAUCUUGCUUAGUUCGUCCAUAUAGUGAAACCACCAGUUUGCAAUCUUUUGGUUAUUG